UUCAGCGUCGCAUCGCAAGGUGCGGCGUGCACUUUGCCUUUAGUAGGACGUUGCGAUACGUUAGGAAUCGGGGUCCGUAAUGGGCCGCCAGUAGGCUAUCAAAAGGCCGGCACAAAGUUCGAGGUGGCAAAUAGCGUGGGUCGUAGCGGCCUCGCAUAUUGCCCCGCGAGUGUGCCUGGUGCUGCUGUAGCUGCCUGACGUGUCUUACCGGCCAGCAUCGCUUAAUCCUUUCGGGGAUUACCCGCCUCUYGGGGUGGGAUUGAUGCGGCGCGAUCGGCAACGGUUAAAUUUGGGAUACCUUUGGGACCCGUCUUGAAACACGGACCAAGGAGUCUAUCUAGUGUGCGAGUAAGUGAGCCCCAUUGAAACUCACUUGCGGAAAAAACUUGACUGUUGUGGGACUACGAUUGCCGUUCACGCGUGCUUUCCUCCGUCCCGGGGUAUCUUCAUCACAUGCCGUUACCCGUUCACGGGUUGGCGGCAUAGAAGAUAUACCAUGAGCAUACUGGAUAUGACCCGAAAGAUGGUGAACUAUGCCUGAUCAGGUUGAAGUCAGGGGAAACCCUGAUGGAGGACCGAAGCAAUUCUGACGUGCAAAUCG
This 601-nucleotide ribosomal RNA is filed under the name Podochlus sp. SRM-2009. RNAcentral describes it as "eukaryotic LSU rRNA". It matches the Rfam family "Eukaryotic large subunit ribosomal RNA", at positions 547 to 900 of the family's 3401-position model. The record is from RNAcentral. Lineage: Eukaryota; Metazoa; Arthropoda; Insecta; Diptera; Chironomidae.